This 380-nucleotide ribosomal RNA is filed under the name uncultured eukaryote. RNAcentral describes it as "partial 18S ribosomal RNA". It matches the Rfam family "Eukaryotic small subunit ribosomal RNA", at positions 592 to 976 of the family's 1831-position model. The record is from RNAcentral.
CAAUAGCGUAUAUUAAAGUUGUUGCAGUUAGAACGCUCGUAGUCGGAUUUCGGGGCGGGGCGACCGGUCUGCCGAUGGGUAUGCACUGGUCGGCGCGUCCUUCCUUCCGGAGACCGUUCCUACUCUUAACUGAGCGGGGGCGGGAGACGGAUCGUUUACUUUGAAAAAAUCAGAGUGUUUCAAGCAGGCAGCUCGCUCUUGCAUGGAUUAGCAUGGGAUAAUGAAAUAGGACUUUGGUGCUAUUUUGUUGGUUUCGAACACCGAAGUAAUGAUUAAAAGGGACAGGCAGGGGCACUCGUAUUCCGCCGAGAGAGGUGAAAUUCUCAGACCAGCGGAAGACGAACCACUGCGAAAGCAUUUGCCAGGGAUGUUUUCACUGA